This 960-nucleotide ribosomal RNA is filed under the name Vibrio alginolyticus. RNAcentral describes it as "bacterial SSU rRNA". It matches the Rfam family "Bacterial small subunit ribosomal RNA", at positions 60 to 1017 of the family's 1533-position model. Lineage: Bacteria; Pseudomonadati; Pseudomonadota; Gammaproteobacteria; Vibrionales; Vibrionaceae. The record is from RNAcentral.
AGUUAUCUGAACCUUCGGGGGACGAUAACGGCGUCGAGCGGCGGACGGGUGAGUAAUGCCUAGGAAAUUGCCCUGAUGUGGGGGAUAACCAUUGGAAACGAUGGCUAAUACCGCAUGAUGCCUACGGGCCAAAGAGGGGGACCUUCGGGCCUCUCGCGUCAGGAUAUGCCUAGGUGGGAUUAGCUAGUUGGUGAGGUAAGGGCUCACCAAGGCGACGAUCCCUAGCUGGUCUGAGAGGAUGAUCAGCCACACUGGAACUGAGACACGGUCCAGACUCCUACGGGAGGCAGCAGUGGGGAAUAUUGCACAAUGGGCGCAAGCCUGAUGCAGCCAUGCCGCGUGUGUGAAGAAGGCCUUCGGGUUGUAAAGUACUUUCAGUCGUGAGGAAGGCGGCGUCGUUAAUAGCGGCGUUGUUUGACGUUAGCGACAGAAGAAGCACCGGCUAACUCCGUGCCAGCAGCCGCGGUAAUACGGAGGGUGCGAGCGUUAAUCGGAAUUACUGGGCGUAAAGCGCAUGCAGGUGGUUUGUUAAGUCAGAUGUGAAAGCCCGGGGCUCAACCUCGGAAUAGCAUUUGAAACUGGCAGACUAGAGUACUGUAGAGGGGGGUAGAAUUUCAGGUGUAGCGGUGAAAUGCGUAGAGAUCUGAAGGAAUACCGGUGGCGAAGGCGGCCCCCUGGACAGAUACUGACACUCAGAUGCGAAAGCGUGGGGAGCAAACAGGAUUAGAUACCCUGGUAGUCCACGCCGUAAACGAUGUCUACUUGGAGGUUGUGGCCUUGAGCCGUGGCUUUCGGAGCUAACGCGUUAAGUAGACCGCCUGGGGAGUACGGUCGCAAGAUUAAAACUCAAAUGAAUUGACGGGGCCCGCACAAGCGGUGGAGCAUGUGGUUUAAUUCGAUGCAACGCGAGAACCUUACCUACUCUUGACAUCCAGAGACUUUCCAGAGAUGGAUUGUGCC